CCUACGGGGGGCUGCAGUCGAGAAUCAUUCACAAUGGGGGAAACCCUGAUGGUGCGACGCCGCGUGGAGGAAUGAAGGUCUUCGGAUUGUAAACCCCUGUCAUGUGGGAGCAAAUUAAAAAGAUAGUACCACAAGAGGAAGAGACGGCUAACUCCGUGCCAGCAGCCGCGUGAAUACAGACGUCUCAAGCGUUGUUCGGAAUCACUGGGCGUAAAGCGUUCGUAGGCUGUUAGGUAAGUCGUGUGUGAAAGGCGCGGGCUCAACCCGCGGACGGCACAUGAUACUGGGAGACUAGAGUAGUGGAGAGGGGAAGCGGAAUUCUCGGUGUAGCAGUGAAAUGCGUAGAUAUCGAGAAGAACACUCGUGGCGAAGGCGGGUUCCUGGACAUUAACUGACGCUGAGGCACGAAGGCGAGGGGAGCGAAAGGGAUUAGAUACCCCUGUAGUC
This 447-nucleotide ribosomal RNA is filed under the name uncultured bacterium. RNAcentral's name for it is "partial 16S ribosomal RNA". It matches the Rfam family "Bacterial small subunit ribosomal RNA", at positions 338 to 795 of the family's 1533-position model. The record is from RNAcentral.